ACCCAUAUUAUCAACGUGAAAGUAUUUGAUUGUUGGUUGGUUGGUUUGUCCUUCAAUCACAUCGCAACGGAGUAACGGAUAGACGUGAUUUCUUGCAUAAGUAUAGGUAAAUAUCUGCUACUUUUUAUCCCGGAAAAUC
Long non-coding RNA from Maniola jurtina (meadow brown), 139 nucleotides. RefSeq lists it as uncharacterized. The transcript has 3 exons. The record is from RefSeq and is a predicted model, not a curated record. Lineage: Eukaryota; Metazoa; Arthropoda; Insecta; Lepidoptera; Nymphalidae.